UACGUAUGGUCCUAGCGUUGUCCGGAAUGACUGGGCGUAAAGGGUGUGUAGGCGGAUGUAUAUGUCAGAUGUGAAAUACCUCGGCUUAACUGAGGCAUUGCGUUUGAAACUGUACAUCUUGAGCAUGUCAGGGGUAAGCGGAAUUCCCGGAGUAGCGGUGAAAUGCGUAGAUAUCGGGAAGAACACCGGUGGCGAAGGCGGCUUACUGGGGCAUAGCUGACGCUGAGGCACGAAAGCGUGGGGAG
Molecule: ribosomal RNA, 245 nt
Filed under: uncultured Eubacteriales bacterium
Lineage: Bacteria; Bacillati; Bacillota; Clostridia; Eubacteriales
Description: uncultured Clostridiales bacterium partial 16S ribosomal RNA
Rfam family: Bacterial small subunit ribosomal RNA
Source: RNAcentral